UGGGUUGUAGCUCAGUGGUAGAGCACUUGCAUGUGUGAGGCCCUGGGUUCAGUUCCCUGCACUGCAA
RNAcentral lists this transfer RNA (67 nucleotides) under Heterocephalus glaber (naked mole-rat). It matches the Rfam family "tRNA". Rfam says of the family: Transfer RNA (tRNA) molecules are approximately 80 nucleotides in length. Their secondary structure includes four short double-helical elements and three loops (D, anti-codon, and T loops). Further hydrogen bonds mediate the characteristic L-shaped molecular structure. tRNAs have two regions of fundamental functional importance: the anti-codon, which is responsible for specific mRNA codon recognition, and the 3' end, to which the tRNAs corresponding amino acid is attached (by aminoacyl-tRNA synthetases). tRNAs cope with the degeneracy of the genetic code in two manners: having more than one tRNA (with a specific anti-codon) for a particular amino acid; and 'wobble' base-pairing, i.e. permitting non-standard base-pairing at the 3rd anti-codon position. The record is from Rfam by way of RNAcentral. Lineage: Eukaryota; Metazoa; Chordata; Mammalia; Rodentia; Bathyergidae.